GCCUCGAUGGUGUAGUCCGGCGAUCAUCAGGGACUGUCAAUCCCUGGACCCGGGUCCAAAUCCCGGUCGGGGCGCCA
RNAcentral lists this transfer RNA (77 nucleotides) under Candidatus Helarchaeota archaeon. Its description in RNAcentral is "tRNA-Asp". It matches the Rfam family "tRNA". Rfam says of the family: Transfer RNA (tRNA) molecules are approximately 80 nucleotides in length. Their secondary structure includes four short double-helical elements and three loops (D, anti-codon, and T loops). Lineage: Archaea; Promethearchaeati; Candidatus Helarchaeota. The record is from RNAcentral.